Rhincodon typus (whale shark) is the source of this 990-nucleotide long non-coding RNA. RefSeq lists it as uncharacterized. The record is from RefSeq and is a predicted model, not a curated record. Lineage: Eukaryota; Metazoa; Chordata; Chondrichthyes; Orectolobiformes; Rhincodontidae. The transcript is spliced from 6 exons.
CCUACUUGUUGGUGCACAGUUUGGAUUCCAGCAGGGCAUAUCAUCUGACCUCAUUACAGCCUUGGUUCAAACAUGGACAGAGGUGUGAAAUUGCAGGGGUGAGUUUGCUCGCAGCAAGGUUUUGAAACAGCAGAAGACAUAAAUGACAGAACAACUUUUAUUAUUAUUGGACAGGACAGUUCCCAACUUUUCAAGCACUGCGAAGGGAUUUAUUCAUGAUUGAAAAAGCAACUGGGAUAUUAGGUUUGCAUCUCAUCAAGGUCAACUUUGGAGCCAGCGUUGCCUCACCUUGGUGGGAUUCAUUGUGGAAAUAAAAUCAGCACUGACCAUCCAGCAGGAUGACCUCAGGAGAUGGUUUAUGGUAUUUGAUAAGGACCAUCACAAAAUGGAUAAUAGUGAAGGGCAUGGUACUGCAGUCACUGGAAGGACAAACUGUGGAAGAUUAAUUCCCUUUUUCCUGUAUUUAACCUCUCCUGAUGAAGGCAUUUCUGACUGUUUUCCACAUGUUCUGGAAGGAAUUUCACCUGUAUCCCUGUCUAUCACUUCACUGCCUUCUGGAGAAGAGGAAUAGCCAGAUUCUCUGUGGUCCUUGAUAUGGAAAUCCAUUCACUAUUUCAGGUUUCACGGACGGAGAUAAAAAGGACUCGCACUGUUAUCACUGUCAGGCACAAUUCAUAGUCUCAAGCAAGAUAACAUUGUUUUCAGUAGGACUUCACAGAUUUCUGAUAACUUUUAUCAGACAGUGGGUGGUGUUAAACCAUUCCAGUUUAUUUUUAUUCGGAGUUAUCUACUGAGCAAAAGGGCAAAGCAUGCAACUCUACAAUUCCAGAAAUGUACAAGGAUUAUUUAAAGAAUACCUCACCUCAGGAAUGUUUGCAGAUGCCAUUGCUGCAACUCAGUUCUUGACAUUUUGUGGUUGUAAGUGCGUUAGAGGUUGUGAACAGCGUAUGUUCAGCAUCAAUAUUCAGAAAAUCUCAAAUAAAUUUUGAC